CACUUGAGGGCAAGUCUGGUGCCAGCAGCCGCGGUAAUUCCAGCUCCAAUAGCGUAUAUUAAAGUUGUUGCAGUUAAAAGCUCGUAGUUGAAUUUCGAGACCGGUUUAUUGGUCGUGCUUUUGUACGUACUGGUAUUAUUGGUUUCUCCUUUCUGACGAAUCAUAAUGCCAUUAAUUUGGUGUUUUGGGGAAUCAGGACUGUUACUUUGAAAAAAUUAGAGUGUUUAAAGCAGGCUCACGCUUGAAUACAUUAGCAUGGAAUAACGAAAUAGGACGUUUGAUUUUAAUUUUGUUGGUUUCUAGGAUCGACGUAAUGAUUAAUAGGGAUAGUUGGGGGCAUUAGUAUUCAAUUGUCAGAGGUGAAAUUCUUGGAUUUAUUGAGGACUAACUACUGCGAAAGCAUUUGCCAAGGAUGUUUUCAUUAAUCAAGAACGAAAGUUAGGGGAUCGAAGACGAUCAGAUACCGUCGUAGUCUUAACCAUAAACUAUGCCGACUAGGGAUCGGAUGAUGUUAAUUUUUUAAUGACUCAUUCGGCGCCUUACG
RNAcentral lists this ribosomal RNA (544 nucleotides) under uncultured Glomus. Its description in RNAcentral is "SSU rRNA". It matches the Rfam family "Eukaryotic small subunit ribosomal RNA", at positions 546 to 1092 of the family's 1831-position model. The record is from RNAcentral. Lineage: Eukaryota; Fungi; Glomeromycota; Glomeromycetes; Glomerales; Glomeraceae.